CAAUAAGCGGAGGAAAAGAAACUAACAAGGAUUCCCCUAGUAACUGCGAGUGAAGCGGGAUGAGCUCAAAUUUAAAAUCUGGCGUCUUCGGCGUCCGAGUUGUAAUUUAGAGAAGCGUUUUCCGCGUCGGACCGUGUACAAGUCUCCUGGAACGGAGCGUCAUAGAGGGUGAGAAUCCCGUCUUUGACACGGACCCCCGAUGCUAUGUGAUACGCUCUCGAAGAGUCGAGUUGUUUGGGAAUGCAGCUCAAAAUGGGUGGUGAACUCCAUCUAAAGCUAAAUAUUGGCGAGAGACCGAUAGCGAACAAGUACCGUGAGGGAAAGAUGAAAAGCACUUUGGAAAGAGAGUGAAACAGUACGUGAAAUUGUUGAAAGGGAAACGCUUGAAGUCAGUCGCGUCCGCCGGGAUUCAGCCGCAAGGUGUACUUUCCGGUGGACGGGCCAGCAUCACUUUCGAUCAUCGGAAAAGGGCGUGAGGAAUGUGGCACCUUCGGGUGUGUUAUAGCCUCUCGUCGUAUACGGUGACCGGGAGUGAGGACCGCCUUUGUAGGAUGCUGGCGUAAUGGCUUUAAACGACCCGUCUUGAAACACGGACCAAGGAGUCUAACAUGCCCGCGAGUGUUCGGGUGGAAAACCCGUGCGCGUAAUGAAAGUGAAAGUUGGGAAGGCUGUCGUGGCCUGCACCGACGCCCGGACUUGAGAUUUAUCGAAGGUUCUGCGGUAGAGCGUGUAUGUUGGGACCCGAAAGAUGGUGAACUAUGCCUGAAUAGGGUGAAGCCAGAGGAAACUCUGGUGGAGGCUCGUAGCGAUUCUGACGUGCAAAUCGAUCGUCGAAUUUGGGUAUAGGG
This 848-nucleotide ribosomal RNA is filed under the name Entomocorticium whitneyi. RNAcentral describes it as "Entomocorticium sp. JCB-2020g partial large subunit ribosomal RNA". It matches the Rfam family "Eukaryotic large subunit ribosomal RNA", at positions 44 to 922 of the family's 3401-position model. Lineage: Eukaryota; Fungi; Basidiomycota; Agaricomycetes; Russulales; Peniophoraceae. The record is from RNAcentral.